Molecule: unclassified non-coding RNA, 224 nt
Filed under: Hevea brasiliensis (rubber tree)
Lineage: Eukaryota; Viridiplantae; Streptophyta; Magnoliopsida; Malpighiales; Euphorbiaceae
Source: RNAcentral
AUAGUAUCCGUCAGUUCUUUCCUGUCACCAACUCCGACUACAACUUCACCUGUUUUAACAGAAUCAUCCAUCAUGCAAUCAAUGUAGGUAUAUACCACGCGAACUUUGUCCAUAUCUUCCAAAAGCAAUGGAAUUCUCCUCUCCUCACCCCCUCGCAAUUCUCCAAGCCUCACGAUCCUUGUGUCCUCUCCAAUCAUCAAUGCAAUAUCUCUAACUGCACCACA